This 867-nucleotide ribosomal RNA is filed under the name uncultured bacterium. RNAcentral's name for it is "bacterial SSU rRNA". It matches the Rfam family "Bacterial small subunit ribosomal RNA", at positions 57 to 917 of the family's 1533-position model. The record is from RNAcentral.
GCAAGUAGAACGCACAGGAUGCACCGUAGUUUACUACACCGUAUUCUGUGAGUUGCGAACGGGUGAGUAACGCGUAGGUAACCUGCCGUAUGGUUGGGGAUAGCUCCUGGAAACGGGUGGUAAUACCCAAUGUUCCAGCUGGAUGCAUGUCUGGUUGGGAAAGCUUUUUGUGCCAUAUGAUGGGGUCGCGUCCUAUCAGCUUGUUGGUGGGGUGAUGGCCUACCAAGGCGUCGACGGGUAGCCGGCCUAAGAGGGCGACCGGCCACAUUGGGACUGAGAUACGGCCCAGACUCCUACGGGAGGCAGCAGUGGGGAAUAUUGCACAAUGGGCGCAAGCCUGAUGCAGCGACGCCGCGUGCGGGAUGGAGGCCUUCGGGUUGUAAACCGCUUUUAUAGGGGGGCAAGCUAUGCCUGUGUGGUGUGGUGAGUGGACUUUAUGAAUAAGCACCGGCUAACUACGUGCCAGCAGCCGCGGUAAUACGUAGGGUGCAAGCGUUGUCCGGAAUUAUUGGGCGUAAAGGGUACGUAGGCGGUUUUUUAAGUCAGGUGUGAAAGCGUGAGGCUUAACCUCAUUAAGCACUUGAAACUGGAAGACUUGAGUGAAGGAGAGGAAAGUGGAAUUCCUAGUGUAGCGGUGAAAUGCGUAGAUAUUAGGAGGAAUACCGGUGGCGAAGGCGACUUUCUGGACUUUUACUGACGCUCAGGUACGAAAGCGUGGGGAGCAAACAGGAUUAGAUACCCUGGUAGUCCACGCCGUAAACGAUGAAUGCUAGGUGUUGGGAGUCAAAUCUCGGUGCCGAAGUAACACAUUAAGCAUUCCGCCUGGGGAGUACGGUGGCAACACUGAAACUCAAAGGAAUUGACGGC